Pseudophryne corroboree (corroboree frog) is the source of this 916-nucleotide long non-coding RNA. RefSeq lists it as uncharacterized. The transcript is spliced from 5 exons. NCBI's taxonomy places the organism in Eukaryota, Metazoa, Chordata, Amphibia, Anura, Myobatrachidae. The record is from RefSeq and is a predicted model, not a curated record.
CCGGGCUCCUGACCGGCAGGGGGCACAUUUCCUCCACUGUCUCCCGCUGCCUGAUCGCCGCUGCUCAGCGGCGGAACUUGCGGGGCCCACAGCCGGCAGCAGUGUAAUGAGUCACACUGACUCAUUACACGCUGCGCUGCAGGCCUUAACACAGGAGGAAGCCGCCGGACGUGAGCGCACAGCGCCAUCAAGUGAGAAGGGUGAGCUCAUCACCCUUCAUCUCGGCACCGCGCUGCUGCAGCUUCCUCCAGACUCCUGGUCUCUGCCACCGCUGCAUGCUGGGAGAAGGGGGAGGAAGGAGAGACAGUCACGGCAGCAGUGUGUGUGGAGAGUGAGGACUGGGAGACAUCAGCUCAGCCGCAGUGAGGAGCCUUACAGGAGCCAGGAGGUGAAAAACGGAGGAGCUGUGUCAGUGGGAAGCUGCCUCCUGUAUAUACAGAGAGCUGGCUGCAGCUAGGGGAGCUCCAGAGCGCGGCUCCUCCCGGGCCCUUCCAGUUAAGCAAGCCAGCCGAGGGAAGUUCUCUGCUCCUCCGUCAGGCUGAUGAUAGCCAAAGGGUGGGGCCCUUGCUGGACACUACUACGCAACAAAGGACCCAACAGAGAGCAGAGUCUGGCAGUUUGGAAGCUGCUGUGAGUAUUUUGACAGCCGGCAUCCCAACUGUCGGGAUCCCGAUACCAACCCGUGUACACAGCUACAAAAGAACAAACCAGAAAUAAACAGACGAGUUGCCAAAGAUUAAAGACUAUACCAGUACAGAGAGAAUUAAAUAUUCUGAGCUAUGUUUCCUGUUUCUGAUCCUUGAGGCCGCUAUAAAUUAAUGGCAUAAAUUAGUAACUGUGUAUCCCUUUUACUUGUAACAAACUGCUUACUGUCUUACAUGGUUUUAAUUAAAGAAUAAAAUAAAAUGAAAAACAA